CUUCUUCUAAAUGGAUAGGAGGGGUUUCAAUGCGAGAUCUAAAAAGAUAUCUCUACGGGGCACCGGUAGUAAGUAUUAUAUGGUUCGGGGCUUUAGCGGGUCUAUUAAUCGAGAUCAAUUGUUUAU
Long non-coding RNA from Cucurbita moschata (crookneck pumpkin), 126 nucleotides. RefSeq lists it as uncharacterized. The transcript has 3 exons. Lineage: Eukaryota; Viridiplantae; Streptophyta; Magnoliopsida; Cucurbitales; Cucurbitaceae. The record is from RefSeq and is a predicted model, not a curated record.